UCCCAGGGCUGAUCCAGAGCCAGGUGGGGCCUUUACUGAGACCCCCACAAAAUGCCCGACUCCGCACAGGCAUCCCGAGCUCACAUGCGUGGCCUCUGACCCCUGCUCUUUGACCUCUGACCCUUCAGAGCCCCGGCGCUGUGCUUCCUGUCGGACCCAGAGGACCCCGCUCUGGAGAGAUGCUGAAGAUGGGACCCCUCUCUGCAAUGCUUGUGGGAUCAGGUACAAGAAAUAUGGCACUCGCUGCUCCAGGUGCUGGCUGGUGCCCAGGAAAAAUGUCCAGCCCAAGAGGCUCUGUGGCAGAUGUGGAGUUUCCCUGGACCCCAUUCAGGAAGGUUAAACCCAGCUUCACCCUGCUGAGCUGCUGCUUCUGCCUCUGUUUCACCAGUGGGAGAAUGGGCAGAAGCAGCUCUCCUCGGAGGACUGGGGAAAGAGCCGGCCUGCCUCCUCUCUGCCAUCUCCAGAUUCAAGGAUCCCGGGGGAAGACCCAGGCCUCAGGUGGCAGAGCCUGCUAGGGGUCACCGGCCCCUUCUCUAGUCAGCCUUGGCCGAGGCCCCCUCAGGAGACGCUCUCAGGAAGGAUGAGCAUUGUUACAGCAGGGACAAUAAAGUGCAGAGAUACUCGGAGA
This 628-nucleotide small RNA is filed under the name Pongo abelii (Sumatran orangutan). RNAcentral's name for it is "retained intron". The record is from RNAcentral. Lineage: Eukaryota; Metazoa; Chordata; Mammalia; Primates; Hominidae.